This 498-nucleotide ribosomal RNA is filed under the name uncultured bacterium. Its description in RNAcentral is "partial 16S ribosomal RNA". It matches the Rfam family "Bacterial small subunit ribosomal RNA", at positions 28 to 507 of the family's 1533-position model. The record is from RNAcentral.
GACGAACGCUGGCGGCGUGCCUAAUACAUGCAAGUCGAACGAUAGCAACCGGUGGUUGCACUGGUCAAUCUAGUGGCGAACGUGUGAGUAACACGUGGGUAACCUGCCCAUCAGAGGGGGAUAACAUCCGGAAACGGAUGCUAAAACCGCAUAGGUCUUCGAACCGCAUGGUUUGAAGAGGAAAAGAGGCGCAAGCUUCUGCUGAGGGAUGGACCCGCGGUGCAUUAGCUAGUUGGUGAGGUAACGGCUCACCAAGGCCGUGAUGCAUAGCCGACCCGAGAGGGUGAUCGGCCACAUUGGGACUGAGACGCGGCCGAAAGACCUACGGGAGGCAGCAGUAGGGAAUCUUCGGAGAUGGAGGGAAGUCUGCCGGAGGAACGCAGGGUGAGUGCAGAAGGUUUUCGGAUCGUAAAACUCUGUUGUUAGAGAAGACCAAGUGCUAGAGUAACUGUUAGCGCAUUGACGGUAUCUAAAGAGAAAGCAACGGCUAACUACGUG